GCCGGAGUGGUGAAAUUGGUAGACGCAGCGGACUCAAAAUCCGCCGGGGUAAAACCCGUGCCGGUUCGAUUCCGGCCUCCGGCACCA
Molecule: transfer RNA, 87 nt
Filed under: Lampropedia cohaerens
Lineage: Bacteria; Pseudomonadati; Pseudomonadota; Betaproteobacteria; Burkholderiales; Comamonadaceae
Description: tRNA-Leu
Rfam family: tRNA
About the family: Transfer RNA (tRNA) molecules are approximately 80 nucleotides in length. Their secondary structure includes four short double-helical elements and three loops (D, anti-codon, and T loops).
Source: RNAcentral